RNAcentral lists this ribosomal RNA (1442 nucleotides) under uncultured organism. RNAcentral describes it as "16S ribosomal RNA". It matches the Rfam family "Bacterial small subunit ribosomal RNA". The record is from RNAcentral.
GGAUGAACGCUAGCUACAGGCUUAACACAUGCAAGUCGAGGGGCAGCAUUUUAGUUUGCUUGCAAACUGAAGAUGGCGACCGGCGCACGGGUGAGUAUCACGUAUCCAACCUGCCGAUAACUCCGGAAUAGCCUUUCGAAAGAAAGAUUAAUACCGGAUAGCAUACGAAUAUCGCAUGAUAUUUUUAUUAAAGAAUUUCGGUUAUCGAUGGGGAUGCGUUCCAUUAGUUUGUUGGCGGGGUAACGGCCCACCAAGACAACGAUGGAUAGGGGUUCUGAGAGGAAGGUCCCCCACAUUGGAACUGAGACACGGUCCAAACUCCUACGGGAGGCAGCAGUGAGGAAUAUUGGUCAAUGGGCGAGAGCCUGAACCAGCCAAGUAGCGUGAAGGAUGAAGGCUCUAUGGGUCGUAAACUUCUUUUAUAUGGGAAUAAAGUUUUCCACGUGUGGAAUUUUGUAUGUACCAUAUGAAUAAGGAUCGGCUAACUCCGUGCCAGCAGCCGCGGUAAUACGGAGGAUCCGAGCGUUAUCCGGAUUUAUUGGGUUUAAAGGGAGCGUAGGUGGAUUGUUAAGUCAGUUGUGAAAGUUUGCGGCUCAACCGUAAAAUUGCAGUUGAAACUGGCAGUCUUGAGUACAGUAGAGGUGGGCGGAAUUCGUGGUGUAGCGGUGAAAUGCUUAGAUAUCACGAAGAACUCCGAUUGCGAAGGCAGCUCACUAGACUGUCACUGACACUGAUGCUCGAAAGUGUGGGUAUCAAACAGGAUUAGAUACCCUGGUAGUCCACACAGUAAACGAUGAAUACUCGCUGUUUGCGAUAUACAGUAAGCGGCCAAGCGAAAGCAUUAAGUAUUCCACCUGGGGAGUACGCCGGCAACGGUGAAACUCAAAGGAAUUGACGGGGGCCCGCACAAGCGGAGGAACAUGUGGUUUAAUUCGAUGAUACGCGAGGAACCUUACCCGGGCUUAAAUUGCAACAGAAUAUAUUGGAAACAGUAUAGCCGUAAGGCUGUUGUGAAGGUGCUGCAUGGUUGUCGUCAGCUCGUGCCGUGAGGUGUCGGCUUAAGUGCCAUAACGAGCGCAACCCUUAUCUUUAGUUACUAACAGGUGAUGCUGAGGACUCUAGAGAGACUGCCGUCGUAAGAUGUGAGGAAGGUGGGGAUGACGUCAAAUCAGCACGGCCCUUACGUCCGGGGCUACACACGUGUUACAAUGGGGGGUGCAGAAGGCGGCUACCUGGUGACAGGAUGCUAAUCCCAAAAACCUCUCUCAGUUCGGAUCGAAGUCUGCAACCCGACUUCGUGAAGCUGGAUUCGCUAGUAAUCGCGCAUCAGCCAUGGCGCGGUGAAUACGUUCCCGGGCCUUGUACACACCGCCCGUCAAGCCAUGAAAGCCGGGGGUACCUGAAGUACGUAACCGCAAGGAGCGUCCUAGGGUAAAACUGGU